Molecule: non-coding RNA, 2212 nt
Organism: Taeniopygia guttata (zebra finch)
Lineage: Eukaryota; Metazoa; Chordata; Aves; Passeriformes; Estrildidae
Source: RefSeq, a predicted model, not a curated record
GCUCCUGAGAGUGAAAGAAACCCCUGUGAAUAUGUAAUUUUAUUAAACUGUUGAUUUUUUCCCCCAUGCUAUGCAGCACACAGCUGUGGUAACAGAAGUACCUAGAAGAGUUUGGGAAUGUAGUAAGAAUUGAUGGGUUUUGCUCUCUGACACUGAGCAGAUAUCUGCUGCUAUAAGUACAGAUAUAACUUUCAAUGCCCCCUUUCAUAUGAUUUCUGAUUUCUUCAGCCUCCUCACAGAGACACCUCAAGUGCCCUCUCCUGUCCCAUGUAUCUUUUGAGCUAUUCCAUGGCACUAUUUUUUAAAUUUUGGCAUUACCUGGUAAUCCAGGUAGCCCUGGAUAUCCAGGGUCACCCUUGGAUCCUGGUCUUCCAGGCUGUCCUUGGAUACCUGGUAAACCCUUCUCCCCUGGAAAUCCACAAAGUCCUUAAAGGGGAAAAAAAAAAAAAAAAGCAUUUGCUACAUAAUGGUUCAAAAUGCACAGGGAGCAGAGCUCCCUCUGCUAACAAAACUUAGAGUAAAGACAAUUUUGAGUCUAAUUUUGUCUUCAGUCAAAGAGACGUACCUGGCAAUCCUGGAUCUCCCAGAGACCCUUUCUGACCAUGUGGACCAAGCACAGGAGUUGGGUCACCUCUCUUGCCUGUUGAGCAUGUCUAUAUAAACUCAUUACCUUUACAUCCUUUGGAGCCAGUCAGUCCUGGAUAUCCAGGGCUUCCAGCGUAGUGGAGCCUGGACUUCAACCACCUGGCAAAACACUACAUCAGAACAGGCAGCCAGAAGAGGUCCUUUCCUAACUCCCACCACAGUUCCUGCUGAAAUGUAACCAAGGCACAGAGGUGUUUCAGUAGGGAAUUUACAGUUCCUACUACACCGGCUGGCUCUUCUCAGAGGGAACAUCUAAUGGACUUCAACCCACAACCCAUUGAAGAAGGGAAUUUCUGGAGGGUGGUGACUGCUGGAUGAGGCUGUCCUCUGAGAAGUGAACACAGCAGGAAGCCUGAAGGACCAAUUGGUCCAACUGACCCCAUUUCACCAACAGGACCUGGAAAUCCAGGAUCUCCUCGUGGACCUACAGAGAAUUACAGAAACAUGUAUGACCACAUGAUUAAAAUCUUGACUGAAGAAGCUGGUCUAGCAUUCUCCUGACAAUCCUAAAUUAGAAAUUCCAAUCCAUUAUGCCAACAGCCCAACUGGCAACAACACUGACUUUUUGCUACUAGGCAACACUCAAUAGGUGGUCUUGGGAAAAGGGGUUAAGGAGAGAGCACUAGGAGCAUUUCUCCGUGACCACAGACUGCCAGGAUGAAACAUGUUUAUGGGAAGGAAGAACAUAUUCCUCAACUCCCAAACUCAUAAGGUAAAACAAAAAUCUGUCUUAUUACCUUCCUCAAAAAUUACUUUUAGGCUUUGAUUCACAUUAAGGCAAGUUCUAAAAUGAGUAGACAAGAAUGAAUGCAUAGCCUAAGGCAAGGCUGUAUAACUGUGGGGAUCUUACAGGCAAGCCUGGAUGGCCUGGGUAUCCAGAUGGGCCUGUUGUACCUCUUGACCCCCUAGGUCCCUGGAAAAGAUUGAAAAAUGUCUUUUGUGAACACAGAAAUAACUUACCCUUUUUUACACAAACCCAGCCCCUCUAAAACACCUUGGACUCAGCCUACUGGCCACCGGAUUCCACCCACAGCCCAAAGCUUACGCCAUGCCUGAAAUCUCCCUGUGACUAGAGCAGCCAGCACCAGCUUCUAGGUAAUACUGGACAAGGCACAGUUCUAUGUUAUUAAUGCACAGAGAGUUCACUUUGCCAGCAAUUGUACUACGGUGCAGCGACUUGAUACAAUUCAUCAGUGAAUACUUUUUAAAAGGGUUUAACAAGAGGAACCCAAAGCCAUCAAGAAUGUGACUCAGCAACAAAAUUAAACUCUCUCUUCUUCUUUCAUGUUCUUAUGACUGGAAUAUGAUAGAGUGCUACUUAUUCUUGGGAGACGCAUCAGAUACUGUAGAAGAAGAAUUCACAACUUGAAUUUCACAGAGAGAAUAUUCUGUGAAUAUCCACACACAGCUAAUGCAGGUGUGGAUGGUCUGUUUCUACGCCCUUUCAGCCAACAUGAACUGGCCAUGGGAACAAACUAUACAGACUUGAUGCUUCUCAGACUUUAUUCUGGAAUUCUGCUAUUUAAGGCAGGCAGAGAGAAACCCCAAUAUUUCUUACCAUACUAAG